UUUAGUAUCGCGCAAUGUCGGACAGUAAUGUUGGUACCGUUGUUCUCUAUAGUUCUCGUUUGAAUUCUCAUAUGGCGGUAUAAAGUCGUGAAUUUAUAAUUCAGUAUUGUGACUUAUUAUAAAUAUAUGUCGAAGAUUUUUAAUUAUUUUUGAAUUAAAAUUGCUCGAUACUCUCACUUGUCGUUUACAUUUAACUUUAUUUAAUUUAUAUGGUGCCUCAUUAUUAUGAAUUACAAUGUCUGAAGAUAAUAAAUUAUUUGCAAAACCUAGAGUGAGAUUUAGUCAGACAAUUAAUGCUAAGGAAAAUUCAAAAGAUUUAUCGGAUAAGGGAGAUAAAAUUUUACCCUCGAUCAUAGAUAUUGUACCUGUCAAGAUACCUGUUAAAGUUCUAAGUUUAGAAAAUAAGGUGGAUAAUCUAAUCGCAACAAGUACUCAUUAUAAUGAGGAUACAAUACCGAAAGAAUCGAUAAUUUCAUGCAACGGUGUACAUACAUUGUCUCAGAAAGAAAAUGAUCAUUUCUUACAGGAUCGAUCAAUCCAUAAGACAGAUGAUAAAGAAUCUUUAACCGAUGUACAUGAUAAAGUAAAUCUAAAAGCUAAUAAUACAGAACGGACAUCUUGUAAAAGAUCGUCACAAGAGGAUGUUCCUGGUAUACCUUGCUCAACAUUUCCAGCAGCUAAAAAUAAUAAGGAUCAUAGUAAAAUUCUUAAACCUAAAAACAGUACAACAAUAAAUAUUUCUAAGCAAUCUGCAAAGAAUAGUCUUGACAAGGGAAAAGAAAAUAAGAAUUCGUAUAAAAAAAAAUUACCACAGUUAAGUAAAGAUAAAGUCGUAAAACCUUUGUGUUCAAAAGUGACAACACAAAUAAAAAAGAAAAUAGAUACUACCAAAGUCAAUAUGCAAAAGUCAAAUGUUACAAAACAUAAUACUAAAAGUAUAAAUAAACCUUACACCUUGAGUAUUGACAAACAAAUUAAAAAAACCCCUACAUCUACUAAAACUUCACAAAAGAAUUUAAGUAUAAAAUCCAGUACAAUAAAUGUUAUGCCAUGCUAUAAGUAUAAUAAAGAUUUGACGAAAAGUAAAAGCUCUCCUGUUAAAAAAUCUGUAGUACGUGAUAUUGUAGUACCUAAUGCAAAAGCUUAUGUAGAACCAGGUAUACCAAAGCAGAAACAAAUUGAUUCGAAUGUACGUCGAAUAAAUAAAAGUACAAAUGCAAGACCAAAUAUUACUUCCAGCGAAAAAUUAUUAUAUCCAGAAUAUAAUUCAAUCAUGUGCACUGUUACCAAGUUGGAUGAAGUUAAGAAAGAGAAAAUAGUAACGGAUGUUGAACAUUUACCUGCCAUAUAUAAAGAUCUAGUCAAUGGAAAGAUUUCAAGUGCAUUAGAUUUUCCUAUGAAUGAAGCUAUUUAUAAAAAUUUAGUAGAUUUGUCUAUUGACGAGAAACAAUUUCCAAGUAAAAUAAUGCGAAGUAAAGAUCCACAACCAAGGCAAAAGGAUCUUGUACCAAAAUUAUCAGAUUUUUUUGUCCCAGAAUUUGUUGAUGAAUAUUAUACUCCAAUGUUUGUGAAAUCAAAAAAUUCUGACCUUAUAGAAAAUUGGAAUGCUUUUCGAAUUAGUGAUAAAAUAUGUGAAUGGAAGGAUAGCAUGGAUAAUUAAUCAUGAGAAUCAAGUUUUUAUAAAGAAAUACACAUAUAUCAAGAAUAAUAUUCUGAUUAAGCAGCACCUAUUUUGGGUACAGAUAAAUAAUUUUGCUAAAUAAAAUAUAUAUUUUAAUAAUAAUUAUUUUCUAAGUCAUAUACAUAAAUAUUAUAUGGCGCAUGUAUGUGUAUGUGUUUGUAUCUAU
This is an RNA transcript of Vespula vulgaris, 1847 nucleotides long. RefSeq lists it as uncharacterized. The transcript is spliced from 3 exons. Lineage: Eukaryota; Metazoa; Arthropoda; Insecta; Hymenoptera; Vespidae. The record is from RefSeq and is a predicted model, not a curated record.